GCGGUUUUUGAGGAUGUCUUUUGUCCGCUUUCAAACGCCCUCCAGCUGCAUCUAGCUUUAUCUUCAGUGCAGUUGGAGAGGAAACAAAAACUAGUC
Molecule: non-coding RNA, 96 nt
Organism: Blastomyces gilchristii SLH14081
Lineage: Eukaryota; Fungi; Ascomycota; Eurotiomycetes; Onygenales; Ajellomycetaceae
Rfam family: Ascomycota telomerase RNA
Source: Rfam